RNAcentral lists this unclassified non-coding RNA (815 nucleotides) under Hevea brasiliensis (rubber tree). Lineage: Eukaryota; Viridiplantae; Streptophyta; Magnoliopsida; Malpighiales; Euphorbiaceae. The record is from RNAcentral.
CUUGUAGGUUUAUUAAAAUGUCAAAAACUAAAUUGCUUGAUUUUAAAAUUACAGGAUUAAGUUCUAGGUUUAACUAAAUCUCAAAGCUAAAUUGUCUAUAAAAUAAAACCCUAAGGACCAAAUUGUUUUCAAAUCGAAAAUAGAGUUAAACGCAUUUUGGUCAUUUUUGCUAGAAUUAACGAUAACUUAACUAAAAUUAUAAUGGUGGGAACUAACUUGUAAGUUUAUUAAAAUGUCCAGGAUUAAACUGAUUGGUUUUGAAACUAUAAGGACGAAGUUGUAGGUUUAACCUACCUCAAGGAUUAAAUUGUAGUUUACCCUAAAUUAUGCUAUGAAAAGAAAUGGUUUUGAGCUGGGCGAGUCUUAGGUAACAAGUGGCCUUGCACGAUACAUGUUUUUUGCUUUCAUUCUAUUAACCUUUAUGUGCAAAUUGCUAAACGAUUAUAUUUUCGUAAAUAGUAUAAACAGAAAGUGCUCUCUGCUGUAGCAUUUGUCUUCCUUGAACUAAGAUCCCAAUGAAGAAAAUCUCUCUUGUUUAAAAUCUUGCAUAAAGCCUUUAUGAGAAAUAAUCAAGCUCCUCUGGAAAUACGGACAACAUGCCAACAAUUGCCUAUAUUACUAAAAAGCGAGAUUGCCUCAUCCAAAUGCAUAUGAUCUGGUUACAAUGCAUAUCUGGACAAAAUAUCUGUGACCGUUACAGUUAAUAUUGUCUACACCUCAAAAAAUUAUUAAGAAAAAGAAAGAAAGCUGCAUGUUGAAUUAAUGAAAGAGACUCCUAGGGUCAAGUUUACCUCUUACUUGUUGAAUCUUCUCAA